RNAcentral lists this Y RNA (102 nucleotides) under Propithecus coquereli (Coquerel's sifaka). Its description in RNAcentral is "Y RNA (ENSPCOG00000006249.1)". It matches the Rfam family "Y RNA". Rfam says of the family: Y RNAs are components of the Ro ribonucleoprotein particle (Ro RNP), in association with Ro60 and La proteins. The Y RNAs and Ro60 and La proteins are well conserved, but the function of the Ro RNP is not known. The record is from Rfam by way of RNAcentral. Lineage: Eukaryota; Metazoa; Chordata; Mammalia; Primates; Indriidae.
GGCUGGUCAGAGUGCAGUGGUGUUUACAACUAAUUGAUCACAAACAGUUACAGAUUUCUUUGUUCCAUCUCAAUUCCCACUGCUUUACUCAAUUAGCCUUAA